Non-coding RNA from Caenorhabditis elegans, 21 nucleotides. NCBI's taxonomy places the organism in Eukaryota, Metazoa, Nematoda, Chromadorea, Rhabditida, Rhabditidae. The record is from Ensembl.
UGGUGAAAUCCACAACUACAA